UACGUAGGGUCCGAGCGUUGUCCGGAAUUACUGGGCGUAAAGAGCUCGUAGGUGGUUUGUCGCGUUGUUCGUGAAAACUCACAGCUCAACUGUGGGCGUGCGGGCGAUACGGGCAGACUUGAGUACUGCAGGGGGAGACUGGAAUUCCUGGUGUAGCGGUGGAAUGCGCAGAUAUCAGGAGGAACACCGGUGGCGAAGGCGGGUCUCUGGGCCGAUACUGACGCUGAGGAGCGAAAGCGUGGGGAGCGAACAGG
RNAcentral lists this ribosomal RNA (254 nucleotides) under uncultured bacterium. Its description in RNAcentral is "partial 16S ribosomal RNA". It matches the Rfam family "Bacterial small subunit ribosomal RNA", at positions 524 to 776 of the family's 1533-position model. The record is from RNAcentral.